UUGAACGCUGGCGGCAUGCCUUACACAUGCAAGUCGAACGGUAACAGCUCUUCGGAGGCUGACGAGUGGCGAACGGGUGAGUAAUACAUCGGAACGUGCCCGAUCGUGGGGGAUAACGGAGCGAAAGCUUUGCUAAUACCGCAUACGAUCUACGGAUGAAAGCAGGGGACCCUCGGGCCUUGCGCGAACGGAGCGGCCGAUGGCAGAUUAGGUAGUUGGUGGGAUAAAAGCUUACCAAGCCGACGAUCUGUAGCUGGUCUGAGAGGACGACCAGCCACACUGGGACUGAGACACGGCCCAGACUCCUACGGGAGGCAGCAGUGGGGAAUUUUGGACAAUGGGCGCAAGCCUGAUCCAGCCAUGCCGCGUGAGUGAAGAAGGCCUUCGGGUUGUAAAGCUCUUUCGGCCGGGAAGAAAUCGUGGUCUCUAACAUAGGCCAUGGAUGACGGUACCGGACUAAGAAGCACCGGCUAACUACGU
This 480-nucleotide ribosomal RNA is filed under the name uncultured bacterium. RNAcentral describes it as "bacterial SSU rRNA". It matches the Rfam family "Bacterial small subunit ribosomal RNA", at positions 30 to 506 of the family's 1533-position model. The record is from RNAcentral.